Molecule: unclassified non-coding RNA, 138 nt
Filed under: soil metagenome
Description: partial internal transcribed spacer 1
Source: RNAcentral
UCAAAACAGCGGCCUUCGGGCCUCGCUGCACCCUUGUCUUUUGCGCACCGUAUUGUUUCCUCGGCGGGCUUGCCUGCCGGUUGGACAUCAUAAAACCUUUUUGUAGUUGCAAUCAGCGUCAGAAAAACAAUAAUUAUA